UUUAUUGUUAUCAUUAUUUGUGAUAACAACAUAAGACCUGCACUCUUAGCAAAAUUUUGAGUACACGAUAUGGUAUUAUUAACUAUAGGCACUAUACUGUACUGUAGAUCUCUAAGGACUUAUUCAUCUUGUAACUGAACUUUGUGCCCUUUGAUUAAUACCUGUCUGUUUCUCCCUACUCCCAGUCCCUAGGAACCGCCGUUCUGCUCCAUUUCUAUGAGUUUGACUAUGUAAGUGAUAUCAUGUAGUAUUUGUCCUUUUGUGUCUAGCUUAUUUCUCUUAGCAUAAUGUCCUCCAGGCUCAUCCAUGUCCCAAUGGCAUGAUUUCCUUCUUUUUCUAAGGCUGAAUAAUAUUUCAUUUUAUGCAUAUACCACAUUUUCUUUAUUCAUCCAUCAAUGGCUAUUUAGAUAAUACAAGCAAGUGGGACUAUAUCAAACUAAAAAGUUUCUGCACAGAAAAGGAAACAAUCAACAAAAUGAAAAGGCAACCUAUGGAAUGGGUGAAAAUCUUUGCAAAUCUUUUUUUUUUUUUUUUAAGAUUUUAUUUAUUUAUUUGACAGAGAGAGAGACAGCCAGCAAGAGAGGGAACACAAGCAGGGGGAGUGGGAGAGGAAGAAGCAGGCUCCCAGCGGAGGAGCCUGAUGUGGGGCUCGAUCCCAUAACGCCGGAAUCACGCCCUGAGCUGAAGGCAGACGCUUAACCGCUGUGCCACCAAGGCGCCCCAAAAUCUUUGCAAAUCUGAUCUGAUAUGGGGUUCAUAUCCAAAACACAUAAGAAACUUCUAUAGCCUAAUAGCAAAAAACCAAAUCACCCCACUAAAAAGUGGGCAAAGAAUUGAAGAGAUAUUUUUCCAAAGAAGACAUCCAGAUGGCCAAUGAGAAGGUAUAUGAAAAGGUGCUCAACAUCACCAGUUAUCAGGGAAAUGCAAAUCAAGACCACAAUAAAAACAACUCAAGACUGUGAUGUCUGCGAUUCUCAUGAGCCAUGGACCUCUGGGGCCAUCGUGACUUCCCACAAGAUCAGGCACAUAGCAGGCACUUGUGCCCACACGUGUUCUUCCUCUCGUGGAUCCACCAUACCACGGGAGCUGCGGGGAGACUCCACAGUGGCCAUUUGAGUUGGUGCUCUUGCUGCUCUGCCCUCUUGAGGCCUGGUUCUUCAUCAUUUCCUGGCUUAGGCUCCCUGGUUGGGCACAGAGAGGAAGUCACUGUCUUUGGAUUUUCAGGACACCUGGAGUUUCCUUAGACUCCCUUUAUGCCACCUCACCUCUGCCCACUGCUACCUAGACUUUCCCUCCCAGGUGUUGUCACUGGCUGAACUUAUAGUUUGGAAUAAAACUAAGCAAUUUUAUUAAUUGUCA
RNAcentral lists this long non-coding RNA (1359 nucleotides) under Ursus maritimus (polar bear). Its description in RNAcentral is "lncRNA (ENSUMAG00000011438.1)". Lineage: Eukaryota; Metazoa; Chordata; Mammalia; Carnivora; Ursidae. The record is from RNAcentral.